Molecule: ribosomal RNA, 465 nt
Filed under: uncultured bacterium
Lineage: Bacteria
Description: partial 16S ribosomal RNA
Rfam family: Bacterial small subunit ribosomal RNA
Source: RNAcentral
CCUACGGGAGACAGCAGUAGGGAAUCUUCCACAAUGGGCGAAAGCCUGAUGGAGCAACGCCGCGUGGGUGAAGAAGGUCUUCGGAUCGUAAAACCCUGUUGUUAGAGAAGAAAGUGCGUGAGAGUAACUGUUCACGUUUCGACGGUAUCUAACCAGAAAGCCACGGCUAACUACGUGCCAGCAGCCGCGGUAAUACGUAGGUGGCAAGCGUUAUCCGGAUUUUUUGGGCGUAAAGGGAACGCAGGCGGUCUUUUAAGUCUGAUGUGAAAGCCUUCGGCUUAACCGGAGUAGUGCAUUGGAAACUGGGAGACUUGAGUGCAGAAGAGGAGAGUGGAACGCCAUGUGUAGCGGUGAAAUGCGUAGAUAUAUGGAAGAACACCAGUGGCGAAAGCGGCUCUCUGGUAUGUAACUGACGCUGAGGUUCGAAAGCGUGGGUAGCAAACAGGAUUAGAUACCCUUGUAGUC